CACCCUGGACAAAGGGCAGGGACAACAUAGGGAUGUCAUUUUGCAUUCCCAGCUGCUGCUGCUGUUCAGGAAGGCCUAACAGGAGGUGGGGUGGAGCCUGGAGCCCAGAGUAGGGAAAGGAAGGCCGGGCAAGGGGAAGGAGCUGCCAAGGUCUUCCCAGCUCCUCUUUCCCCUUGAAGUCACUUUUUCCCCUUGGAAGCUUCUAGAGAUAGACAUAUAAAAUACUCCCCCUGAGAAAACAGUGGACCUGGAUCAUUUCUGGAGAGCAGAAGUGCUGAACCCACAAUAUUUAGGUGCCCCUGGGCUUCUUCCGCCCCUGCUGCCCUUACUCUGGGGGAGGCACAUUGGUGAUGAGCUGAUGUGACUCGAGUACUGCUGUGACGGAGGAGGCUGUUACUCCUCCUCUUUGCCCUCCCAGGAGCAGGGACCCUGGGGCGUCUGGGACCUGUCAGGCACGGGGGAUGGCUCUGGUAUUUCAUGGCAGCUCAAUGCCCCACAUGCCUGAAAUUCUGAUGCGUCCACUCCACCGGCCUUCUGUGGCUGUCCCCGUGACCUGGAGGCUGUCCUCGGCCUCUUCAAGCCUGCAGCCCCCACAAGCGGAACUCAGCCCAGCAGGGCCUAGAAGAAUGUGGAGCUGGGGACUGAGUGCUGGGAAAGGAAUCUGGGUGGAAAUUUCCAUGACUCUUCUGCUCAAGCAAAGACUGCAGCUGAGGCCCAAGAUGUCAACAGAGACCAGGGCCCAGGUCACAAAGGGUCACUUUUCCUCUCUCUGGGCUCUUUAUCACCUACUGCCCCACCCUGAGCCAAGGCCAUAAACCUCAUGCAGUCCAGCCUCCUCUGUUCCUGCCCCCCCCACCCCCACCCCCACUGUUUGUGGCAGCAAGAUCCCUACUUUCCCUACUUGCACUGACCUCCCUCCACUGCUCCCCACAGUCGUGGCCACUCUCCUGGCAGUGGGAGCCCCCCAACUUCAGGAGCCAGGUCAAGACCCCUUGAACCUGAACAGUCAGUCCAUGCUGCAGAUUCCUGCAGCCUUCCCUGCCCAGUGACGUCACCAGCACGCCUGGGACUGUGCCCUUCAUUUGGUGAAUCAGCUGUUUUUUUUAAUUUUUAUUUUCUUCUCAUUGUCCAAACGCAUCUCAGCCCUUGUUAUCCUGAGCUAUGGUGUGUGGCUUUUAUUGCUGUUUGUCAUUGUCACCUGUCUUGAAAACAGAGUUCAUGUCUUAUAGUUCUGCCUCAGCUCAGGACGGCUCUGCACAUGACUUAGGCAGCAUCCGCCCACACAGUCAGCCCAUGCAGCCUUGGGCUGGUGCUAGGGGCUCUGAGAGGCUCACCCCAGUCCCAGCUGGUGGUCUCUGUGGAUUCCCCAGCCAGAUCAGGCAGAAGUGUUUGUGGUUUGCCCUCCCUGUCUGCCCCCAGCCAGAAUUCCAACCUGGCCAGUUCUAAAAGCUGAACCGUGAAGACUCAGCCCUGCCUGGAGCAGCCUUCCCUGGAGCCUGGCUGACUGCACCCACCAGCCGUCAGCUCUGGCCUAGAAACUUAGGGGUCCUGGAGACAGCAGGUCCUGCUACCUCCCUGUCCUCCAUUCAGCCUAAAUGUCCACCUCCUCAGGGGCCUGCCUUCAGCUCACCUGCAGACCAUAGAAGUCUCCCUGCUGUGCACUCAUCCCCUGCGCUUUGGCACUCCCUACUCCGCCCCAGGUGUUCUGCAACAUCGGUAGCAUGACAGAGGGCUUCUUAGAGAGAGGGCGCCCUUGCUACCAGGGUCCACAGGCUCAGUCUCAGCCUGGUUCCUGUUUGUGGUGCCCCUUUCUCAGGCCUGUGGGGAUGUCAGGAGCUUAGGACAGCGCCGGGCUCAAGAGAUGUGGCUACCUUCCCUCCUGCUUUCGGUACUCAGCGCAGGCAGGGUUCAGUGCAGCAAGUAACAGCUGUGGCUUACUGGAUUGUCUGCAACCAUUGGCGACUGAGAGAUCCCUGCAGCCCUCCCAGACCCUCGAUCUGACUGGAGCCAGGCCCACGUGGGGAAAGGGUUAAACGUUGGCAGUGACUUCACCCCUGCAUUGGAGCAGGCGGAGGCAGAGUAGGUAAAAAAAUCAGGACAGAGGCUGGUUGGAAUUUUCCAGCGUUCAUAAACAGGACCAGUCAGGGUUGCUAAGGGAGGUCACCAUGGAAACGGUCACGUGCGCCUGCCUCCUGGUUAUUCCACCCUGGUCAGGAGGAUGAUGCAAGCUCCGAGCCUCUUCAUUGGCUGCCACCUUCCUCUUGCCACCGAAAUCUGGUGGGAGAUUGGCUGAGGACAGUUGCUGGGCUGGAGCUAGCCUUUCCCUUUCUCCCCCAUCCCUCCCACAGGAACCUGCUGGAAGCUGUUCUGAACCAGAGAAGGAUGAAAAUAGCUGCCAAAGAUGUUGCCAUAGCAACUGCUUUCCUUCCUGACCUCCUUGGAAGUGAACUCCCUCAUUUUCCAGAGUAGUCAAGGAAUUUCUGUGCCUCUACCCAUGGCUUUGGUUACCAACUCAUCCCUGGGGGCCUUGGUUUCUUUCUGUGAAAUGGAAUAUUCAUUCCAGCACUCACCACCUUCUAGGCUGGAGUAAGGCUCCAACUUUGCAAAUGCUGUUAGUAAACUGUAGAGCUCCGUGCA
Molecule: long non-coding RNA, 2637 nt
Filed under: Homo sapiens (human)
Lineage: Eukaryota; Metazoa; Chordata; Mammalia; Primates; Hominidae
Description: HSALNT0363297
Source: RNAcentral